RNAcentral lists this ribosomal RNA (3006 nucleotides) under Salmonella enterica subsp. enterica serovar Saintpaul. Its description in RNAcentral is "23S ribosomal RNA". It matches the Rfam family "Bacterial large subunit ribosomal RNA". Lineage: Bacteria; Pseudomonadati; Pseudomonadota; Gammaproteobacteria; Enterobacterales; Enterobacteriaceae. The record is from RNAcentral.
GGGUUGUGAGGUUAAGCGACUAAGCGUACACGGUGGAUGCCCGGCAGUCAGAGGCGAUGAAGGGCGUGCUAAUCUGCGAUAAGCGCCGGUAAGGUGAUAUGAACCGUUAUAACCGGCGAUACCCGAAUGGGGAAACCCAGUGUGAUUCGUCACACUAUCAUUAACUGAAUCCAUAGGUUAAUGAGGCGAACCGGGGAACUGAAACAUCUAAGUACCCCGAGGAAAAGAAAUCAACCGAGAUUCCCCCAGUAGCGGCGAGCGAACGGGGAGGAGCCCAGAGCCUGAAUCAGCAUGUGUGUUAGUGGAAGCGUCUGGAAAGGCGCGCGAUACAGGGUGACAGCCCCGUACACAAAAGCGCAUGUGCUGUGAGCUCGAUGAGUAGGGCGGGACACGUGGUAUCCUGUCUGAAUAUGGGGGACCAUCCUCCAAGGCUAAAUACUCCUGACUGACCGAUAGUGAACCAGUACCGUGAGGGAAAGGCGAAAAGAACCCCGGCGAGGGGAGUGAAAAAGAACCUGAAACCGUGUACGUACAAGCAGUGGGAGCACAGGUUUACCUGUGUGACUGCGUACCUUUUGUAUAAUGGGUCAGCGACUUAUAUUCUGUAGCAAGGUUAACCGUAUAGGGGAGCCGGAGGGAAACCGAGUCUUAAUUGGGCGUUAAGUUGCAGGGUAUAGACCCGAAACCCGGUGAUCUAGCCAUGGGCAGGUUGAAGGUUGGGUAACACUAACUGGAGGACCGAACCGACUAAUGUUGAAAAAUUAGCGGAUGACCUGUGGCUGGGGGUGAAAGGCCAAUCAAACCGGGAGAUAGCUGGUUCUCCCCGAAAGCUAUUUAGGUAGCGCCUCGUGAAUUCAUCUCCGGGGUAGAGCACUGUUUCGGCUAGGGGGCCAUCCCGGCUUACCAACCCGAUGCAAACUGCGAAUACCGGAGAAUGUUAUCACGGGAGACACACGGCGGGUGCUAACGUCCGUCGUGAAGAGGGAAACAACCCAGACCGCCAGCUAAGGUCCCAAAGUCAUGGUUAAGUGGGAAACGAUGUGGGAAGGCCCAGACAGCCGGGAUGUUGGCUUAGAAGCAGCCAUCAUUUAAAGAAAGCGUAAUAGCUCACUGGUCGAGUCGGCCUGCGCGGAAGAUGUAACGGGGCUAAACCAUGCACCGAAGCUGCGGCAGCGAACGUAUCACCCAAGACAACUUUACGAGUUGACGAUUGACGGAGCGAAGCGACGUCAAAGCGUUCAUUAAAGUCGAGUUGGCUUAGGGAUACGUUCGUUGGGUAGGGGAGCGUUCUGUAAGCCUGUGAAGGUGUGUCGUGAGGCAUGCUGGAGGUAUCAGAAGUGCGAAUGCUGACAUAAGUAACGAUAAAGCGGGUGAAAAGCCCGCUCGCCGGAAGACCAAGGGUUCCUGUCCAACGUUAAUCGGGGCAGGGUGAGUCGACCCCUAAGGCGAGGCCGAAAGGCGUAGUCGAUGGGAAACGGGUUAAUAUUCCCGUACUUGGUGUUACUGCGAAGGGGGGACGGAGAAGGCUAUGUUGGCCGGGCGACGGUUGUCCCGGUUUAAGCGUGUAGGUGUGUGUUCCGGGUAAAUCCGGUUCACUUUAACACUGAGGCGUGACGACGAGGCACUACGGUGCUGAAGCAACAAAUGCCCUGCUUCCGGGAAAAGCCUCUAAGCAUCAGGUAACAUCAAAUCGUACCCCAAACCGACACAGGUGGUCAGGUAGAGAAUACCAAGGCGCUUGAGAGAACUCGGGUGAAGGAACUAGGCAAAAUGGUGCCGUAACUUCGGGAGAAGGCACGCUGACACGUAGGUGAAGUGAUUUACUCAUGGAGCUGAAGUCAGUCGAAGAUACCAGCUGGCUGCAACUGUUUAUUAAAAACACAGCACUGUGCAAACACGAAAGUGGACGUAUACGGUGUGACGCCUGCCCGGUGCCGGAAGGUUAAUUGAUGGGGUCAGCGCAAGCGAAGCUCCUGAUCGAAGCCCCGGUAAACGGCGGCCGUAACUAUAACGGUCCUAAGGUAGCGAAAUUCCUUGUCGGGUAAGUUCCGACCUGCACGAAUGGCGUAAUGAUGGCGGGCUGUCUCCACCCGAGACUCAGUGAAAUUGAACUCGCUGUGAAGAUGCAGUGUACCCGCGGCAAGACGGAAAGACCCCGUGAACCUUUACUAUAGCUUGACACUGAACAUUGAGCCUUGAUGUGUAGGAUAGGUGGGAGGCUUUGAAGUGUGGACGCCAGUCUGCAUGGAGCCGACCUUGAAAUACCACCCUUUAAUGUUUGAUGUUCUAACGUGGACCCGUUACCCGGGUUGCGGACAGUGUCUGGUGGGUAGUUUGACUGGGGCGGUCUCCUCCUAAAGAGUAACGGAGGAGCACGAAGGUUGGCUAAUCUGGUCGGACAUCAGGAGGUUAGUGCAAUGGCAUAAGCCAGCUUGACUGCGAGCGUGACGGCGCGAGCAGGUGCGAAAGCAGGUCAUAGUGAUCCGGUGGUUCUGAAUGGAAGGGCCAUCGCUCAACGGAUAAAAAGGUACUCCGGGGAUAACAGGCUGAUACCGCCCAAGAGUUCAUAUCGACGGCGGUGUUUGGCACCUCGAUGUCGGCUCAUCACAUCCUGGGGCUGAAGUAGGUCCCAAGGGUAUGGCUGUUCGCCAUUUAAAGUGGUACGCGAGCUGGGUUUAGAACGUCGUGAGACAGUUCGGUCCCUAUCUGCCGUGGGCGCUGGAGAACUGAGGGGGCUGCUCCUAGUACGAGAGGACCGGAGUGGACGCAUCACUGGUGUUCGGGUUGUCAUGCCAAUGGCACUGCCCGGUAGCUAAAUGCGGAAGAGAUAAGUGCUGAAAGCAUCUAAGCACGAAACUUGCCCCGAGAUGAGUUCUCCCUGAGACUUAGAGUCUCCUGAAGGAACGUUGAAGACGACGACGUUGAUAGGCCGGGUGUGUAAGCGCAGCGAUGCGUUGAGCUAACCGGUACUAAUGAACCGUGAGGCUUAACCUUGCAACGCCGAAG